Molecule: long non-coding RNA, 859 nt
Organism: Tripterygium wilfordii
Lineage: Eukaryota; Viridiplantae; Streptophyta; Magnoliopsida; Celastrales; Celastraceae
Exons: 3
Source: RefSeq, a predicted model, not a curated record
AAACAAUAUAGACGCACCUCGAAUUCAGAAAAAUCAAGAAGUUAAUUUAAGGUGCUGACAUCAUAGACCAUCGAAGGUGUCGAGAUUAGGGGCUCUCCAAACGCGACAAAGCUGUCACCUGAGACAUCUUAGAACAACAUAAUAUGUAUUGGAAGCAAGGGAAACCUUCUUGCUUUUUGGAGCAAUUGAAUGGUUUUUGGUGAAAAACAGCCAAUUUUGAGUAUUUUGAAAAACCGUCAAUUGAAAAACAAAGUGAAGACCUUGAAGUUUCUUGGAGAAUAUUUUCGGAAAUUUUCGUGGAGCCAAUUAACCCAGAUUUUGAAAAAAAGUUGAGCUGAAGUGUGAAAUCACCAAGACUGUGCUGCCUGUGAAGAAUUGGGCCUAGAAGGUUCCUCAGAUUUUUGUUAGAGGCACGAGAGAUAGCUUUGGAGAGCCAGGAUAUUAAGCUUCGAAUUGCAUAUUUUCAGGGAUUUUUCCAAUUAAUGAAACAUGGUCAGAAUUAGUAAGAAAGACAGCUAUUUAGCAGUCUAUUUUAACGUAGGAUGCAAACCUUCCCUCAAUUGUUUGUUAUUGAGGAAACUAAGGUUGACUGAAGAGUUUCCUUAGAAAUUCAGUAACGUGGGAAGCAAAGUAAGGGUUGGAGAAGGAUAUUUAAGGAGGCCUUCAUAGAGACAGAGGACACACAGAGAUUGGGAGGAAUUCUUCGAAGACAGCCGUCAGUUCUACCUUGGUGCAAUGUUAGACUUUUCAUGUUUUUCCUUGAGCUUUCAUCUGUGGUGCUUUCAUCUAUGGUGAUGUGUAACUAAAUAUUUUUGCUAGGACAUGAUGAAGUUUUAAUAUGAUACUCUAGUUGUUAUUG